UGGUCCAUUCUAAUCCCUGCUGGCCAGCCUAUGGCCUGGCAGACUUCGCUUGUGGACCAAAGCACCCUAGAAGUCUCCCCUGGAGUUGAGCAAGGCCUCUUCUGUGCUUAUGCUUGGGCACUUCUUGGGCAUAU
Perognathus longimembris pacificus (Pacific pocket mouse) is the source of this 134-nucleotide small nucleolar RNA. NCBI's taxonomy places the organism in Eukaryota, Metazoa, Chordata, Mammalia, Rodentia, Heteromyidae. The record is from RefSeq and is a predicted model, not a curated record.